AAUGCGUGGACAACUUACCUCUGAGACCGGGAUAACGGCGGGAAACUGCCGCUAAUACCGGAUGGCCUCGGAGCCCGGCAUCGGGUUCCGAGUAAACGGUGGGGACCGAAAGGCCUGCUGCUCGGAGAGAGGUUCACGUCCUAUCAGCUAGUUGGCGGGGUUACGGCCCACCAAGGCGAUGACGGGUAGGCGAGCUGAGAGGCUGACCGCCCACAUUGGGACUGAGAACUGCCCAGACUCCUACGGGAGGCUGCAGUCGAGAAUCUUCCGCAAUGGACGCAAGUCUGACGGAGCGACGCCGCGUGCGGGAUGAAGGUCUUCGGAUUGUAAACCGCUGUCACGCGUUACGAACGCGCCGGGGCCAACACCCCCGGCGUUGACUAAGGCGCGGGAGGAAGACACGGCUAACUCUGUGCCAGCAGCCGCGGUAAUACAGAGGUGUCAAGCGUUGCUCGGUAUCACUGGGCUUAAAGGGCGCGUAGGCUGUGCGGUACGGUUCGGGUGAAAUCCCUCGGCUCAACCGAGGAACUGCCCGGGCGACGGCCGCGCUGGACUGCAUCAGGGGACGAUGGAACUCCCGGUGGAGCGGUGAAAUGCGUAGAUAUCGGGAGG
RNAcentral lists this ribosomal RNA (612 nucleotides) under uncultured bacterium. Its description in RNAcentral is "bacterial SSU rRNA". It matches the Rfam family "Bacterial small subunit ribosomal RNA", at positions 112 to 704 of the family's 1533-position model. The record is from RNAcentral.